CUGACACAGGUAUGUACACACACACUCAGAUACACACAUACAUAAAGGUAUAAAUGCAGGGGUGUAUAUGUGUACAGUGCUAGAGAUGGAGUGUAUUUGUGUUGGCAUUAAAAUGCUGGGAUGUAUGCAUUACCACACACUCAGAUGCACACCUACACACACUGACACAUACAUACAUACAUACAUACAUACACACACACACACACACACACACAAACACACACACAGGUACACAUACACACUGACACACAAGUACACAUAGACAGGUAUACAUACACACAGAAACACUGACACACAGACAAACACAGCCAGAUACCAACACUGACACAAACACAGCCAGAUACACACAAGGACAUAAACACAGCCAGAUACACACACACAUAUAUAUGUGUACAUUUACAUAUUUUAAUCUCUGCCUUCUAGCAGCUCUUGGACAGCAACUCCCAGCAACCUUGGCCAUAAUAAUGUCUCAACUCUGUUCUUACAUACCCUGGUCCAGAAUUUGGCAAAAGUGAC
Pelobates cultripes (western spadefoot toad) is the source of this 516-nucleotide non-coding RNA. The record is from the annotation of a GenBank genome assembly. Lineage: Eukaryota; Metazoa; Chordata; Amphibia; Anura; Pelobatidae.